This 310-nucleotide unclassified non-coding RNA is filed under the name Zea mays. RNAcentral describes it as "misc RNA Zm00001eb180300". The record is from RNAcentral. Lineage: Eukaryota; Viridiplantae; Streptophyta; Magnoliopsida; Poales; Poaceae.
CCCUCCUCGGCUCCUCUGUUUCCCACCACAACACCCCAUGUCCGCCAGCAGCGGACCCACCGCCCUCUCCGCCUCCGAUCCGCCGCUCGCCGGGGAGGCCUCUGGUCUCGGGGCCGUCUCCAGACCAUGGUCACCACUGCCACCAUCUCCCUCCUACAGCACGUUCGACCUUCGGCUUUUGGCGGUAGUCUUCUCCCCCUUCCCCUCCAGCGCCUCCGUCCUAUUCACUGCCAACGCUCGGCGCCAGCCUCCCAUCACUCCCUCCAUCGCAGUCUCCACCUCCAUCUCCCCAUCGUCAGGCCCUGUUCAC